CGCGUAGGUGGUUUGUUAAGCGAGAUGUGAAAGCCCCGGGCUUAACCUGGGAACGGCAUUUCGAACUGGCAGACUAGAGUGUGGUAGAGGGUAGUGGAAUUUCCUGUGUAGCGGUGAAAUGCGUAGAUAUAGGAAGGAACACCAGUGGCGAAGGCGGCUACCUGGACCAACGCUGACACUGAAGUGCGAAAGCGUGGGGAGCAAACA
This 207-nucleotide ribosomal RNA is filed under the name uncultured bacterium. RNAcentral describes it as "partial 16S ribosomal RNA". It matches the Rfam family "Bacterial small subunit ribosomal RNA", at positions 568 to 774 of the family's 1533-position model. The record is from RNAcentral.